UACGUAGGGUGCGAGCGUUGUUCGGAAUUACUGGGCGUAAAGGGCUCGUAGGCGGCCAACUAAGUCGGACGUGAAAUCCCUCGGCUUAACCGGGGAACUGCGUCCGAUACUGGAUGGCUUGAGGUUGGGAGAGGGAUGCGGAAUUCCAGGUGUAGCGGUGAAAUGCGUAGAUAUCUGGAGGAACACCGGUGGCGAAGGCGGCAUCCUGGACCAAUUCUGACGCUGAGUGAGCGAAAGCCAGGGGAGCAAACGGG
Molecule: ribosomal RNA, 254 nt
Filed under: uncultured bacterium
Lineage: Bacteria
Description: partial 16S ribosomal RNA
Rfam family: Bacterial small subunit ribosomal RNA
Source: RNAcentral